Molecule: long non-coding RNA, 2755 nt
Filed under: Homo sapiens (human)
Lineage: Eukaryota; Metazoa; Chordata; Mammalia; Primates; Hominidae
Description: non-protein coding lnc-TP53TG3-70:1
Source: RNAcentral
UCUCACCCAGAUGUUGCCAUGAUGAUGGCCGUGGAGGAUGGCAUGGUGCAGGUAGUGGUUCAGGUGCAGCACCUCCCCCCUCGAGAGUUGGAAGUCAAAAGCAGCCUGUGGUUCAGGUGAUGGAUGAGAAGGUGUUUUUGUUUAACACUGAGGAGACCCAUGGAGGGUUUCCUGGCCUGAAAUUGGGCAGCGUUUAUGAUGGCUCUAAGAAGAACAAAGACCUGACAUUGUCUUUGCUUGGAUUUUUGAUGAGGUGGCCACAUAUCAGGAUGUGUUCAGCACACAACAUACAGCAUUUGUUUGCCUAUGGGGUCACUGGGCCUGAGAAGACACUCACCAUGCUGAAAAGAGAGGAGACCUCCAGCAUCAUGGACCUGACCAUCAGGUACCUCUACAGGCACUUUGAGGACCACCAGGAGGAGAAGCACUUUGAGGUGAUCAUCACCUGUCAGGAGCUCAGAUGCUGACCAGGGGGACCCAUAACUGCAUGCGGCAUUCCACUGAUGCCAGUGCAACUCCCUCCCACUCCCAUGCCAUCUUCCAGAACCAGCAGAACUGGGAUCCAGAACUAACCCAGGAUGUUCAGGUGAUGAAGAUAAGCCUGAUUGGCCUGGCUGAUGCUGAGGUGACAUCCAGUACCCAGGAGAACAGGGAUCAGCUUCGGGAGGGUGCCAACAUCAAUCACUCUCUGCUGGCGCUCAUCAACAUCCUCAAUGCCCUGGGCCACAAGACCCAUGUGCCCUGCAAGGACAGCAAACUGGCCUGCCUUCUCAGACUCCCUCAGGGGUAACUGCCACAUGGUGAUGAUUGUUGCCAUCAGCACCUCCAGCCUGGCCUACAAGAACACAUAAAACACCCUCACAUAUGCUGACUGGGCCAAGGGGAUUGGGUUCCCCAGUGUCUGAAGAACAAUUUAAUCAGCCAGAACUGUCACUUCAGCUGGUAUACCACGAUCUGCCAACAAAUCCAGGCUGGGUGAGGCACCAGCCUGGGGAACAGGCUUGGGGACAAAGAGCAAGAAGCAGAAGCUUGGGAGUAUCACUGGGCCUCUGUACACAUCCCUCACCUCCUGGGCUCAGCUGGGGUUCUGAGGGGCCGGGCUUCUUCUGCUACAGGUGGCUAUUGUGAGGAAGAAGCUUGAGGUGUAUGAGGAGGGAGCCUGGCCCCCACAACAGAACCUUCCAUAAUCCCCAUAGGGACACCACAAAACAGUGAAAUUCACUGCCCACUCUGCCUCUACCCUGCAGCUUGGCCAGGACAGGAACCAGUUCCCCUCCUCCAGAUCCUGGAGGUCAGUGACUCCUUGCUUCUGUUCCAAUACCUAGGGUUAAGGAUUCCCAUCCAGUGCCCAGCAACUGAUUGUCACUUAGAAUGCUCUGUGUCAAAUGAGUAAAUGGCAUUGAAGCCCAUAUGAACAGGACCUAUUAUUCAAGAGAUGGUGAACUUAGGGUUUGUGUUAUUGUUUCUCAAACCAGAAAACCCCUGACUCCUUUUUCCACACUCAGCUACCACCCAAGUGUCCUCUCCUUACAGACUCUGAACUUCCUUGAUGCUACAGAGAUUUCACUGACUCCCUGCUCUCCCACCUGCCCCACACCCUGCUUCUCACAUCCUUAUUUCCCCCUUAGAUUUUCUACUCCCUUUCCCACUGUACCCUCCCACUCAGCCCUGCACCCAAGAGCUCCCUGCAGGACCUCAAACCCUUCAAGAGAAGAACCUGGGACAGAAGCCCAAGUGAAGAGUGUCAUGGAAUAGUGCUGUGCUUGGCCCAUAAACAAUAUUUCCUGCUCCAAGAAGCUAACCUCCUGACCUAUAUGAUCACAGAAUUUGAGACCAUGCAGCAGCUAGUGCAGGAGGAAAAAAUUCAGCCUGGGUCAGAGGCCUGCAGAACUUCUGGCCUGGCCAGGGCAGCAACUUUGGAUCAGGACCUGUGUUCAGAGUCAAGUGAGUCUCACUCCUUCUCUGCCCUGCCUAUGGGUGCUGUCUCCAAGGCCCAGCUGGGGCUGAGAGAUGUCCAGGGGGUCUCAGUUGUGGGGUUAUGCUACAGUAGAAGUCUGGAACCCUAGGAUCAUGGGUUUUGUACACAGACAGGCCCCAGGAGACCUGAAAAGUUAGGGGCAACUUGAUGUCUCCAGCAUCUGGCUCUCCAAGUUUUACAAAUACUCCUUCCUCUGGCCAGUCCCUGAUCUUUCCUCAGCACCCUCCUUCUCUCUGCCCAGAGUCUCCAGGAUUCUCUGGCCAUGUGACCUGAACCAUGGCAGGGUGAUUGAGUGGUUCCAUACAAACUCUGAGGAUCCCACCUGGGCCUGACUGCACCAUGGCCAAGAUAUCUCAAUGUCCCAUGAAGACGAAGAGGAGGAGAUCAUGCCUCUUUGAGCCAGGGAGUUAUCUGGCCCCAAAGUGGGUCACCAAAUGCUAAUACCAGUCUCUCCUGCCCUGCCUGAGGAGAGGGGCUCUGCCUGAGACCCAGGCUUCAUUUGGGCCCAGCACCCCUCAGGAGGGAAGAGCCUCCUUCCCCUGCCAUUUUUCUUAUGUCUUCUCAGCCACAGUCAUCAAACUCUAGAUGCCACUGGGCCCUUCCACCAUGAAGAAUGCUCCCCUCUCUGGCCCCACCUACUUGAAAUUUCAAUGUCAUGUUUGAUCUCUCUGAGGAGUGUCUCUCAUAGCUCAGUUUCCAUGAAAGCAUUGGCUGGGACAAAGUUCCCCAGGAGCUGAAAAGGCUGGACCAGCCCUUUGUCCCAAGGUGAGUCUCCUA